GACGAACGCUGGCGGCGGGCUUAACACAUGCAAGUCGAACGGAAAGGCCCUGCUUUUGUUGGUUUCUCGAGUGGCGAACGGGUGAGUAACACGGGAGUAACCUGCCCUUGACUUUGUGAUAACUUCAGGAAACUGGGGCUAAUACAGGAUAGGAGAUCCUGCUGCAUGGUGGGGGUUGGAAAGUGUCGGCGGUUGGGGAUGGGCUCGCGGCUUAUCAGCUUGUUGGUGGAGUAGUGGCUUACCAAGGCUUUGACGGGUAGCCGGCCUGAGAGGGUGACCGGGCCAAUUGGGACUGAGAUACGGCCCAGAGUCCUACGGGAGGCAGCAGUGGGGAAUAUUGCACAAUGGGCGGAAGCCUGAUGCAGCAACGCCGCGUGCGGGAUGACGGCCUUCGGGUUGUAAACCGCUUUCGCCUGUGACGAAGCGUGAGUGACGGUAAUGGGUAAAGAAGCACCGGCUAACUACGUG
This 468-nucleotide ribosomal RNA is filed under the name uncultured bacterium. RNAcentral's name for it is "partial 16S ribosomal RNA". It matches the Rfam family "Bacterial small subunit ribosomal RNA", at positions 28 to 507 of the family's 1533-position model. The record is from RNAcentral.